This 291-nucleotide long non-coding RNA is filed under the name Anser cygnoides (Swan goose). RNAcentral's name for it is "lncRNA (ENSACDG00005001853.1)". The record is from RNAcentral. Lineage: Eukaryota; Metazoa; Chordata; Aves; Anseriformes; Anatidae.
AUGCCUACGGUCUUUUGGCAGAGACACGCAUUUCCUUGCGUACUGGAUAAUGAAGAGGGACAGUAUUCCUCUGUAUUUCUACUACAUGUUGGAAGACCUUGUUUCUUGAGUGGAUUUGUGAUCGCUUGCUCAGAAGGAACGGGACAGAUUUCAUUCAGACACCCUGCAAACACCUUUGUGGCUGAGACCAGACAGAUCCUUGAGUGUGCGCUGCCUGUCUCUGAAGGAGCAGAGCAGCAGGAGGAGGAUAUGAGAACUGAGGCUUUCUUAGCCCUGCUUCUGCUUCUGUAG